This 253-nucleotide ribosomal RNA is filed under the name uncultured bacterium. RNAcentral describes it as "partial 16S ribosomal RNA". It matches the Rfam family "Bacterial small subunit ribosomal RNA", at positions 524 to 776 of the family's 1533-position model. The record is from RNAcentral.
UACGUAGGCAGCGAGCGUUGUUCGGAAUUACUGGGCGUAAAGAGUGUGUAGGCGGUGCUCUAAGUUCGGUGUGAAAUCUCCCGGCUUAACUGGGAGGGUGCGCCGGAAACUGGAGUGCUCGAGCGUGGGAGAGGAAAGCGGAAUUCCUGGUGUAGCGGUGAAAUGCGUAGAUAUCAGGAGGAACACCUGCGGUGUAGACGGCUUUCUGGACCAUUGCUGGCGCUGAGACACGAAAGCGUGGGUAGCAAACAGG